Molecule: ribosomal RNA, 292 nt
Filed under: uncultured bacterium
Lineage: Bacteria
Description: partial 16S ribosomal RNA
Rfam family: Bacterial small subunit ribosomal RNA
Source: RNAcentral
GUGUCAGCAGCCGCGGUAAUACGGAGGGUGCAAGCGUUGUUCGGAAUUAUUGGGCGUAAAGCGCGUGUAGGCGGUUUGUUAAGUCUGGUGUGAAAGCCCUGGGCUCAACCUGGGAAGUGCAUUGGAUACUGGCAAACUUGAGUACGGGAGAGGAUAGUGGAAUUUCGAGUGUAGGGGUGAAAUCCGUAGAUAUUCGAAGGAACACCGGUGGCGAAGGCGGCUAUCUGGACCGAUACUGACGCUGAGACGCGAAAGCGUGGGGAGCAAACAGGAUUAGAAACCCCAGUAGUCC